This 204-nucleotide ribosomal RNA is filed under the name uncultured Lactobacillus sp. Its description in RNAcentral is "partial 16S ribosomal RNA". It matches the Rfam family "Bacterial small subunit ribosomal RNA", at positions 158 to 355 of the family's 1533-position model. The record is from RNAcentral. Lineage: Bacteria; Bacillati; Bacillota; Bacilli; Lactobacillales; Lactobacillaceae.
GAAUGCUAAUACCGGAUAACAACAGAUGAUGCCUAUCAACUGUUUAAAAGAUGGUUCUGCUAUCACUCUUGGAUGGACCUGCGGUGCAUUAGCUAGUUGGUAGGGUAACGGCCUACCAAGGCGAUGAUGCAUAGCCGAGUUGAGAGACUGAUCGGCCACAUUGGGACUGAGACACGGCCCAAACUCCUACGGGAGGCAGCAGUA